This is a long non-coding RNA of Bufo bufo (common toad), 128 nucleotides long. RefSeq lists it as uncharacterized. The transcript has 3 exons. The record is from RefSeq and is a predicted model, not a curated record. Lineage: Eukaryota; Metazoa; Chordata; Amphibia; Anura; Bufonidae.
AAAAAUAUAUAUAUGAGACUUCUACUAUACUGUACUUCUACUGAGACCUAUACAGUAGAAGUCUCUUUUUUUUUUAUUGUUUUACUGCUUGGCUAUGCAGCUGUAUAGUGUAUGGUUAAGGUUCUGGG